RNAcentral lists this transfer RNA (73 nucleotides) under Porphyridium sordidum. RNAcentral's name for it is "tRNA-Trp". It matches the Rfam family "tRNA". Rfam says of the family: Transfer RNA (tRNA) molecules are approximately 80 nucleotides in length. Their secondary structure includes four short double-helical elements and three loops (D, anti-codon, and T loops). The record is from RNAcentral. Lineage: Eukaryota; Rhodophyta; Bangiophyceae; Porphyridiales; Porphyridiaceae. RNAcentral also lists the same sequence under 1 other name.
ACGUCCUUAGUUCAGUUGGUAGAACACAGGUCUCCAAAACCUGGUGUCGAGGGUUCAAGUCCUUCAGGGCGUG